GACGAACGCUGGCGGCGUGCUUAACACAUGCAAGUCGAGCGGUAAGGCCCUUUCGGGGGUACACGAGCGGCGAACGGGUGAGUAACACGUGGGUGACCUGCCCUCGGCACCGGAAUAGCCCGGGGAAACUCGGAUUAAUGCCGGAUAGCCCCACAUCCUCUCGGGGAACGUGGGAAAAGGUAGCUUCGGCCUCUGGCCGGGGAUGGGUCCGCGGUGGAUUAGCUUGUUGGCGGGGUAACGGCCCACCAAGGCGACGAUCCANAGCUGGUCUGAGAGGACGAUCAGCCACACUGGGACUGAGACACGGCCCAGACUCCUACGGGAGGCAGCAGUGGGGAAUCUUGCGCAAUGGGCGAAAGCCUGACGCAGCGACGCCGCGUGCGGGAAG
This 388-nucleotide ribosomal RNA is filed under the name uncultured bacterium. RNAcentral describes it as "bacterial SSU rRNA". It matches the Rfam family "Bacterial small subunit ribosomal RNA", at positions 28 to 410 of the family's 1533-position model. The record is from RNAcentral.